GUGAGGUCCCAGGGAAGCUUCAACUACUUCCGGCAAUACAGUAUAGUUCCCAUCAAUAUAAUGAAGGCGGACCUGAAUGUUGUUGCUCCCAACCUGAGAAACUGGCAGCGGAUGUACCAAACCAGCAGUCCGGCGACAAAGAUCCAUCAGAAUAAGAAAAAGGACCUUCACCUCCUCAUAUGUGUAUCCUUGACCAGCAUUUCCAGAACCAAUCCUAGACCGUUUAGAUGGACCUUCUUCAGACCCCUUUGCUCCUGUUCCAACCUGACCGCCUAGCGUUGGUUUUGCACCAGAGUUGGAAUCUUCUGUUUUGCCUGGAAUACCGGACUGAGGUUUUUGCAUUGAAGAAUCAGCAUUCCUUUGAGCAGCCCCCAUAAAACGCGGUAAUUGUGUUCCACGGAAGAAAAAACAGAAAUGCAGAAGUUGACAUAGCCGAUGAAGAAAAUGGCAGUCCCCUAUAAGCCUAACAGCCGGAGUUCCAGGGAAAGUGCCAGUGUUGAUACUUAUCGGCAUAAAUGUAGAAGGACCAGUGAUGGGGUUUGGGGCUGAACUAGGAACACUGUCGGCUGUACUGCUAAUUUUUGCUAUAGCUCCUUGUACCCAAGCUUGCAUCUGA
RNAcentral lists this unclassified non-coding RNA (616 nucleotides) under Hevea brasiliensis (rubber tree). Lineage: Eukaryota; Viridiplantae; Streptophyta; Magnoliopsida; Malpighiales; Euphorbiaceae. The record is from RNAcentral.